CAUGGUUUUUUUGUUUUAUAUAUAAAAUUUAAUCUGCUCCAUGAUUUAUUAAAUUGCCGCAGUAUAUUAACUGUGCAAAGGUAGCAUAAUAAUUAGUUUUUUUAUUAAGAACUUGAAUGAAUGAUUGGACGAUAAAAUGACUGUUUUAUUUUAAGUAUUUAAUUAAUUUUAUUUUUAAGUUUAAAAGCUUAUAUUUUAUUAAAAGACGAGAAGACCCUAUAGAGUUUUAUAAAAAAAUAUUUAAUUUUAGUAUAUUUUUUUUUAUUUGGUUGGGGUGAUUUAAAAAUUUAGUUAAUUUUUUAUUUUUUAUUUUUUAUUUUAAAAUGUAUAAUCUUUAUUUUAAAUAUUAAUUUAAAUUACCUUAGGGAUAACAGCGUAAUUUUUUUUUAAGUUCUUAUUAUAAAAAAAGUUUGCGACCUCGAUGUUGGAUUAAAAUUAAUUUAGGUGUAAAAGCUUAAAUAUUAAGUCUGUUCGACUUUUAAAAUUUUACAUGAUCUGAGUUUAGACCGGUGUAAACCAGGUUGGAUUUUAUCUUUAAUUUAUUUAUAUAUUUUAGUACGAAAGGACCAUAUAUAUUAUAUAUUAUAUUAAUUA
Molecule: ribosomal RNA, 594 nt
Filed under: Taphes sp. UPOL A00539
Lineage: Eukaryota; Metazoa; Arthropoda; Insecta; Coleoptera; Lycidae
Description: partial 16S ribosomal RNA
Rfam family: Archaeal large subunit ribosomal RNA (bases 367-523)
Source: RNAcentral